RNAcentral lists this ribosomal RNA (440 nucleotides) under uncultured bacterium. RNAcentral's name for it is "bacterial SSU rRNA". It matches the Rfam family "Bacterial small subunit ribosomal RNA", at positions 338 to 795 of the family's 1533-position model. The record is from RNAcentral.
CCUACGGGUGGCUGCAGUGGGGAAUAUUGGACAAUGGGCGCAAGCCUGAUCCAGCCAUGCCGCGUGAGUGAUGAAGGUCUUAGGAUUGUAAAGCUCUUUCAGCAGGGAAGAUAAUGACGGUACCUGCAGAAGAAGCCCCGGCAAACUUCGUGCCAGCAGCCGCGGUAAUACGAAGGGGGCUAGCGUUGUUCGGAUUUACUGGGCGUAAAGCGCACGUAGGCGGACUAUUAAGUCAGGGGUGAAAUCCCGGGGCUCAACCCCGGAACUGCCUUUGAUACUGGUAGUCUUGAGUUCGAGAGAGGUGAGUGGAAUUCCGAGUGUAGAGGUGAAAUUCGUAGAUAUUCGGAGGAACACCAGUGGCGAAGGCGGCUCACUGGCUCGAUACUGACGCUGAGGUGCGAAAGCGUGGGGAGCAAACAGGAUUAGAUACCCUUGUAGUC